GCCGAGCUCAGUUGCGCGAGCUUGUGACCUAAGUUGGGGCAUCAAGAUGGCUUGGACACUGGUUGAGUCCAUUCGGUAGGGUCAGGGGAAUGUGUGAUUUGCCGACUUGCCCGUUCCAAGUUGGGAGUUGAAUCGUACGGUCCUAGUGAAAGCUUGGACUGUGUGGUUCUUAGAGGGGAGGGUACAGCGUCAGGCUGGUUUCACAGAGCAGCGAAGACCUCCCGCUCUUGGCAGUGGAAGGAUAACGAGUUGGUGCACCCUUGAUCCCGUAACACCGUAUGGGCUGAGCUCGGUUGGACAACCAUCUUU
Molecule: signal recognition particle RNA, 309 nt
Filed under: Macleaya cordata
Lineage: Eukaryota; Viridiplantae; Streptophyta; Magnoliopsida; Ranunculales; Papaveraceae
Description: Plant signal recognition particle RNA
Rfam family: Plant signal recognition particle RNA
Source: Rfam by way of RNAcentral